RNAcentral lists this ribosomal RNA (484 nucleotides) under uncultured bacterium. RNAcentral's name for it is "partial 16S ribosomal RNA". It matches the Rfam family "Bacterial small subunit ribosomal RNA", at positions 30 to 507 of the family's 1533-position model. The record is from RNAcentral.
AUUGAACGCUGGCGGCAGGCCUAACACAUGCAAGUCGAGCGGAUGAAGGGAGCUUGCUCCUGGAUGCAGCGGCGGACGGGUGAGUAAUGCCUAGGAAUCUGCCUGGUAGUGGGGGACAACGUCCGGAAACGGGCGCUAAUACCGCAUACGUCCUGAGGGAGAAAGUGGGGGAUCUUCGGACCUCACGCCAUCAGAUGAGCCUAGGUCGGAUUAGCUAGUUGGUGGGGUAAAGGCCUACCAAGGCGACGAUCCGUAACUGGUCUGAGAGGAUGAUCAGUCACACGGGAACUGAGACACGGUCCAGACGCCUACGGGAGGCAGCAGUGGGGAAUAUUGGACAAUGGGCGAAAGCCUGAUCCAGCCAUGCCGCGUGUGUGAAGAAGGUCUUCGGAUUGUAAAGCACUUUAAGUUGGGAGGAAGGGCAGUAAGUUAAUACCUUGCUGUUUUGACGUUACCAACUGAAUAAGCACCGGCUAACUUCGUG